UACAGAGGGGGCAAGCGUUGUUCGGAAUUACUGGGCGUAAAGGGCGCGUAGGCGGCCUGCUAAGUCGAACGUGAAAUCCCCGGGCUCAACCCGGGAACUGCGUCCGAUACUGGCAGGCUUGAAUUCGAGAGAGGGAUGUGGAAUUCCAGGUGUAGCGGUGAAAUGCGUAGAUAUCGGGAGGAACACCGGUGGCGAAGGCGGCGAUCUGGGUCGAUACUGACGCUGAGGUGCGAAAGCGUGGGGAGCAAACAGG
This 253-nucleotide ribosomal RNA is filed under the name uncultured bacterium. RNAcentral describes it as "partial 16S ribosomal RNA". It matches the Rfam family "Bacterial small subunit ribosomal RNA", at positions 524 to 776 of the family's 1533-position model. The record is from RNAcentral.